Molecule: long non-coding RNA, 749 nt
Filed under: Cricetulus griseus (Chinese hamster)
Lineage: Eukaryota; Metazoa; Chordata; Mammalia; Rodentia; Cricetidae
Description: lncRNA (ENSCGRG00000025096.1)
Source: RNAcentral
GUCAGGUCUAAGUGCUUUGGGUGGUGGUAAGGUUUUAAGUACAGGAUUGUGGCUCAGCACACCAUGGUAGUUUAACUUCUUUCUUUCCUAUUUGGAUUUCUUUGUCUUUCUUCUUUCUGAUUAAGAGUUCAAGCCCUAUACAGAAUAAGGCCAGAAAAAGUGGUCCCCUGUGUCCCAUACCUAAUUUUAGAAGGAACACUGAGUUUUUUCAUCUUAGCAUAAUGUCAGCUCUAGGUGACAUUGUACUGUCAUAUAGCACCAGAAUGCCUAUGCCAGCUUUUAUUAUGUUGAAGAUUGUUCCUUCUAUGCCUAGUUUCUUCAGGGUCUAUCUUAUAAAAAGAUAUUGAACUUUGUGGAAGGCAUUUUCAGUGUCUAUUGUGAAAAACCUUGCUGCCUCCAUUUUAAGCUUAAAAGCUGUCUUAUAGUAAAGACAAAGUAGGUUCCUCCCUAUUUAUGAUGAAGCCUCUGUUUCUCAAGGAUUGGGCUAAACCCCACCUGUAACCUUACCCACAAAUGGUUCUCUACUGUCUGUUCCAGGAAUGAUGAGACGAUUGCAUUCAGGUGAUCUUUCCUUCAUGCACACCAUCCAACCUUACUCGAAGAAGAUCAAGCAAAUGCACACCUACUUCCCAUCACAGACUCAGAGCUGUUGUUUGCUGUGGGGUACAGCAGAGUUCGGAAACCAUCCACUUCACAAAAUCUCCACUCCUCACCGAGAAGGCCUUCAAACCCAGAACUGUUGCAGCUAG